This 329-nucleotide ribosomal RNA is filed under the name uncultured eukaryote. RNAcentral describes it as "partial 18S ribosomal RNA". It matches the Rfam family "Eukaryotic small subunit ribosomal RNA", at positions 1470 to 1796 of the family's 1831-position model. The record is from RNAcentral.
CCCUUCGAUGUUCUGGGCCGCACGCGCGCUACACUGAUGCAUUCAACGAGUCUAAAACCUGCUCUGAUAGGGGUGGGUAAUCUUUUGAAUGUGCAUCGUGAUUGGGAUAGAUGAUUGCAAUUUUUCAUCUUCAACGAGGAAUGCCUAGUAAACGCAAGUCAUCAGCUUGCAUUGAUUACGUCCCUGCCCUUUGUACACACCGCCCGUCGCUCCUACCGAUUGAAUGAUCCGAUGAAUAUCAUGGAUUGAGGAUGCAAGCAGGUUCGCCUGUCUUCAUCUUCGAGAAGUGAAGUAAAUCUUAUCAUUUAGAGGAAGGAGAAGUCGUAACA